Non-coding RNA from Rattus norvegicus (Norway rat), 4468 nucleotides. Lineage: Eukaryota; Metazoa; Chordata; Mammalia; Rodentia; Muridae. The record is from RefSeq and is a predicted model, not a curated record.
UCUCUCUCCAUGUUCCUGAUCUAGCCUGUGGACAGUGGCGGCAACUCCACUUCCUCAAUAUGUCUGGGCUUGGCUCUCGGCUUCCCUUCCCCUAUCGUUGUUCAAGGUAGAGGCGGUCUCGUUCUCCCGUGAAUGGCACUACCUUGCACUAGUUCCAGCCUUCCUCUCAGAGCACCUUUUUCUUAGGCAGGGUACCCUAAAGCAGACCUCGAAAUAGGGAUUCCAAUGAGAGACCCUUAUUAGGAAGUAUUCCCAGAGUGAUCCAGGAGUGGAGCGCGGAGACUGGAAUGGGAAGAGAACAACGUGGAAAGGUGGCCAGUCUCUUCCCACAGAUCCAGUAUAGAGAGGUCUGAGGCAGAACGAUUCCCUGAUAGUGAAGACUGUGGAACUAAGCAGAAUUUGUACAGGUGCCCAAGGAUGCCACUGGCAAGUUAAAUUCCUUCCAUCUACCUGCUCAGUCAUCCCAAGGCAUAUGGUUUUGCCCUCACUGACACAGGUUGGCUAGCUCUUCCACAUACGUGUUUCUGGAAAGAAGACAGAAGUGUCUCAUGAAGCUUUGUCUCUCCGUUCAAGAGCUGAUACCCUCACCAAGAGUCCCAUCUGCCUUUCCUUGGCAAGAACUGAGAUGUGGACACAUGGCUGCUCAUUGCAGCAAGGGAGUCUGGAAAGAAGACUAUUUUUCCAGGGCAUAUUAUCACCUCAGUGGAAUCCACGACUGUUGGGUACCAGCUAGCUAUGUCUACAUAGCAUCUAUUAACAUCUUUGAUCCUUACAGUAAGCCUAUGCUAUGGUUAUCAGUGAAUGCAAUUUUAUGAACUAAGGGACUAGUGGGACAAAUGAGUUUAGAUCAUUUCCCAAAGUCUGUAUAGUUAUUAAUUAGAGUAGCAGGGGAUAGCAUGCUUAUUUGGGCUCCUAAGAAGCCUGAGGGCAAGACUGUGUUUUUGCACAUCUUCCUGUACCUGCAUUACUGAACAUCCUGGUCAGCAGGAGGAUUGAGGGCUUUCUUGACAUCUUAAUGAGAAUCUAUAAUGUCCACCCCCAUCUCAAUACACAACAGCUGCCAGAAAGAACUCUGUCCUGGCAUGAUUUCCCUCUUGGUGUAAGGCAUCUGGGACUAGGGUGUCUUGGACUCAGUUUUGUUGGUUGCCAACCUGGCCAUGCUGAGUUGAGUACAACCAGACUCAGUUUCAGGGAGUGUCUUCUCAAAGUGGUAAAUGCUUUUCACUGGGUCCUAUCACUGGGUAUGAAAGGCUGAGUGAUUCCCAAGUCUGUCUCAGCCAAUCACAAACAUGCCUUCCAGGAUGGUGCCCAAAGUGCACUUUUAUUAAAGAAAACUGUAUUUGAUAUCAACAUAUGGCAAAACUGUCUUUCAUUCCACCUGUUUGCUGGCUCAUAUGGUCUGAGGAAGAGAAAAGAAGACAAGCUCAUAAUUACUAUAGAUUUUUUAACAUACCCACAGAUAAUUACUCUUGACUGUAAACAAGGGCAGUUGUAAGAAUGAUUGUCUCAUCUGUACUUGGUUUGCUUUAGGAUAAGAAAUAUUGAAUGACCUUGGAAUGUCAUUAUUUGUGUACACAUUUUUUUCUCUCAUUUAAAUGGAUAGGAUAUGCCUCCUCCCAGAUUACAGUCACACCUAAAGUGCCCUAGUGCCUUUGCUAAGUUUUAGCACAAGGGCACUUCACUAAACACAUGAACAAAUGAAGGAAGGAAGAAGAAAAGCUUCUGGAGGAAAUACUUUAAAAACCCUGAAGCUUUUCUAGGCUCAUUCGGAUUUUUGAGAAGGAAACUACUGGUGACUGAACGAAUGUAAAAAUGCACUUGGCAGUCAGUGAUCCCAGCACCUUCGCCUUGGAAGCAACCAGGGCUCCGUGCUGACAGUGCCUGCUGUAAGCUGGGAUACAGUGAACUCAUCUGGAUCAACUGCCACAAGGAAACAGUGACACCCACUUCCAACCUGAAUUAUAAUGCCCACACAAGUUCAAUCCACUGCUGGGUUGUGUGGCAUCUCCACCUACUCUAGGUGGCCUUGAGCCUGCAUCAUCGUCUAGGUCUCUUACAAGGACCCAGCCAGGGUCUGGCAGACUGGUGUGCUGAACUGAUGUCUCUUCAUUACCUGUGUAGAGAGGAAGGCAAGUAUGACCUUGGGCUACACAUUUAAUCUGUGCUUUCUGUACCUUGGUCAGGACUUCAGACCCAUCUGUCUUCUCCAUCUGUCACCACCCUUUGCCUACUUCCACACACUAAAGUCACCCCCAUACUAGUCUGAAUGAGCCUAUCUCUAGCCCCACCUCCUCCAUUAUUCAAGGGUCAGCUCAAUGCUACUCUGUACAGAGAGCUUCUCAGAUUUCCCACAAGGAAGCAGCUUCUUCCUCUGAAAGACUGCUCACCUCUGUCUCUUCUAGAACACUGGUUACGCUCAGCCUGUAUCCCUGUCAUCUCUGCCUGCUGCUUACCUGCUCCCUUGCUUGAUGGAUGUCCAGGUCAUGGAAUUGGUUCUAACAUCUUCAGUGAGGAGUGGUGGUCACUGCCCACGGUGAAAUCUGUCAUUGUAAAAAUAAAUACAUUUACUUAAUACUGAGAAAUAUUUGCAGGAUUAAGAGGUCAGCUUUUUUGUUCUUUGACCACGUGGGUUGUUUUCUGCCAAGGGUCAAGAAGGAUGGCAUUUUAGAGGAAGUGGGACUCUCAUGUCCUGAACACACAGCCAACUUGAGCUUACCGAGGACCAUAAAGAAGAAAGAAUUUAGCACUAUUUGAGAUUUAUUUUUUCCGAUUUCUGCACCCCUGAGGGCCUCUGAGGGGGAAUUACAGGUAGGAAAUUAAGGCACACAAGGGGAAUCAUAGAAGUUACAGCCAAAGCCUCAGUUCUUUUCCUGCAGUCCAGCUCCUUUUGUCACAUUGGGGACAAACAAAUUCACUUUUUUUGAAGCCCAAUUUCCUCAUCCGUCAAAAGAGACUAACGCUGGCAGAAGUUUCACAGAGCUACAGGAUGGUUCCAUCUGGAUGCUGGGCAUACAACAAAUCCUCAGUCAAACAGCAGCUAUUACAAAGGCUGGUCACACAGGCCUUCCAAUCCCGAUGAACUCACUCUCCCUCAGCUGUACUCAGAGCAGGAUGUGUCUGACUGUAGGAUGUGCAACAGUGAAGAGGGCAGCCCCCUACCGGGAGCUUAUAGCCCGAGGAGACCACGGCAUAUCACGUAUCCUUCAGCACUUCCGAUAAGAGACCAAGAAGCAUAUCAUGUGUCUUUUUCCUCCUUUGGCCUUUGAAGUAUGAGCUAUAAAUGGGUAAAAACACAUCAACCACUCUCUUCAUGAAUAUUUAUUGAGAUAGCACUUUUAAUACAGAACCAUUUGAAAAGUGAACCUCGGAGGAAAACUGCUUCUUUUGCAGCCAUUGAUCUUAAAAUAUUUUCUACGAAUGCACUUGCACUUGAAAUAUGACACCCUGCUUUUUCUUAUUUGUUCUGGGUAAAAUCACAAGGACUUGGCCUGGAUGGUUUUUUUAACAAGCUGAACAGUAUGGGCGAAAUCAUCAUCUGGAUCAAGUUCGACUUUUAUUCUGGUCUUUGGUUUGCUAGUUUCUGUCUGUUUUCCUCAAGAUGUCUCCGGGACUCACAACAGCUGGUAAAGGGGAGGCGGAACGCACACCCCUAACAGGUGAUCCCUGGUACUUGCUGGUGAGAUCACCUCCACCAGGGCUAGAGGGGUUUUGAAAGUUAUCUUGUCCAGUGCCCAUCCUCACAGGUGAGGAUGCUUUUAAAGAUUCUCUCAAAUAGAAUAUGCUUCACUGUGCUCCUGCUGCACAGGCCAAGGUUAAAGGCAUAAGAGCCUUGAGGUCUGUGUGAGGCUCUGAAAGUCAGUGGAAUCCAUAUCUCUACUGAUGGCAGAAAUAUGAAUUGUUAUAGACAUUCAGGGUAAGAGGCCAUGUUUUGAUUAAUAUGAAAAUAGCAUAUGCCCUUUGAAUGUGCAGUUUACUUUGAAGACUCCAGCGUAUAACAGCCCCGUGGAGUAAGGCUGGCUGUGGCCUCUGUUGUAAAGGGUCUCAUUUCAACAUCAAGAAGCAGCCUGGACGUGCACCCAGACAGACAGGGCGGGUGACUAAAUCAUCCACCGAUUCUGCAGACUAGUGGUCUCAAGCCAGCACGUUUGACUGCUAUUUGAUGAGAGUGCACACCUCCAAAAUACAGAUAUUUACUUGCACAUAUUCUCUCUUACUGGCAGGAUGAACAAACGCACACAUAAAUUUUAAAGAGUUGAGUUAAAAAUAAAUAGGGGUCAGAGUUUGACUUUGUUUCUCCUCGUGCCGGUGGGGUGGAGUCACCGCAUCAGAAGCUUCACCUGCAGGAGAUCAGGCUGCACAGUAAAGGACUGAGAACACAUGAUUCAGCAGAAAAGAUAAAUUUGCUUUGUAUGAUCAUAAUUUUAUUUUGAAAAUAAAUGCUGUCUCCCUUAGUUCUGUCUAUUUGUAG